This is a non-coding RNA of Tritrichomonas musculus, 73 nucleotides long. The record is from the annotation of a GenBank genome assembly. NCBI's taxonomy places the organism in Eukaryota, Parabasalia, Tritrichomonadida, Tritrichomonadidae.
UUUCUAGUGGUGUAAUUGGUGAGCACACAAGCCUUUGAAGUUUGGAAUUGAGGUUCGAUUCCUCACUAGAAAA